AACCCCUGGCAAUGGGAAAAGAGACAUCUUGUGAUGGUGCUCUUAUGUCAACCAGGGGCAGAGCAGAUGGCAGUUUUUGUUCAUCCUAGCUUGAUGCCUGGCUUGGUGGCCAAAGCUGUUUCAUGCCUAGGGCACACUA
This is a small nucleolar RNA of Phodopus roborovskii (desert hamster), 139 nucleotides long. RefSeq annotates it as small nucleolar RNA SNORA48. The transcript has a single exon. The record is from RefSeq and is a predicted model, not a curated record. NCBI's taxonomy places the organism in Eukaryota, Metazoa, Chordata, Mammalia, Rodentia, Cricetidae.